CACACAUACAUAUGCAUGUGACCCAAGCUGUAGAAACAGGUGAAAUAAUGAGGGAAUAUGUAUUGAUGACUUGGAUUCUGCCUUGUCAAGGACCAUAGGUGCCUCAGACCAAUGGUCUUCUUCAUCCCUCUGAGAUUUAGAGGGGUGACAAAACCUUCCUCUGCUCCCAGUAUGAGUAUUUAUGAUCAAACUUCCUCCUCUCAGAUAACUACAGCCUGAGACAGAUUCCCCUACUAAGUCCUACCAAGACUAGCUAGCUGCUCCUCCUGCUAAACACACUGAUAGUCCAGGGUUUUGUGUAGCUGGUGCUGGUAAGUAUGGCCUUCCUGAUCCCCACUUCUCUAUAUAUGUGUCUGUCCUUUCUUCAUUUUCUUGUCCUUCCAGUCAGGUUGCCAGGACUGAGCUAUUGAGGCCACAGUGCCCAGGGAGACCCACUUAGGCUGAAUCUGCCCAAGGAGCAAGGGUUGCCAGGCAGCAGGACCAGGAUGACAUUCUGCUCGGUGUGAGGCAAGACCAUGGUGUAAGAAUGGUAGUCAGGCCAGGAGUAUGAACUGUGGAGAGGUGGCCAAGAUGCCUACAUAGGGGUCAGCAGCAGACUCGAACUUCUCUGGUAAAGUCUCUAGACUCCCAAGAGAAGAACCCUGCUGGACACAAGCAGGAAACUAGGUCCCCCGAAGGAGAACAGGAAUAUGGCAAAAAGGCUUGGAUUCCAGAUUCAAGAACCAUUUACAGUGAGACCUAGUGAUAGCCAUCAAUAGUCUGGGUGAGGUGAAAGAGGGCAGGACCCCAGCAUUCUGUGCUGUCUCACAUACCAGGAGGAAGGAGGCCUAGAGUCCUGAAAUCUGGGAAGAGCUGUCCAGCUGCUCACCCUGAGCUGAGGUCCACAGAUGGCUUUGGUCAAGAUUGUCCUCCUCUGAGCAAAGACCAAAGAUGUGCUAACACUGCAAGUUCCUGCCCACUACCCAAGUGUGUGUGCCAUUCACCACAGCCUAUGCAGAGAAAGGCUGGAAGAGGUCUGUGUUCAAUGUGAUUGCAGUACCUUCAAAGUGCCUGUAAGCCACGGGUGAGUAGGCAAACUUCCUCGGGUGUCAGGUUCCACAUCUACUGAUGGCAAAGACAGAUGCCUGUGGCUCUUAUGGAGGUUCUGUGAGACAAACUUCAUAAAGCGAGUGCUUAGCACCACUGUGGUGACGUCAACACAGCUAAGUAUGGUUAUUACCACUGUGGAUAUAGCUAAGCAUUGUCUUCUACGGCCCUCUCCCCUCUAGCUCCUGUAGCUGAAGUACACUGCAGAUAGAGUUCUGCUCUAUGGCCAGGCUGCGGAAAGGUGGCCUUGACGGGUAGCUCUCAGAAGCAUGAUGGAAGUCAGCAGUGAGCAUCUCCUUCGUGGCACACUGGCAGGAGCCGUAGCACCAGGACGACGUUUGGUAUGCCAGGCACAUCCUGUGCCUCACACAUCCAGGGACUGCAAUCAGGUAGCUGAUGAGAAUUCAAGUCACAUCGCCUGGACCAUUGCCGCAGUGAACUGAUUCAUGCUGCUACUUCGAGGUGGGAGAAGGGACAGUGGGGCCCAGAGACAAACCAGCCUGGCUCUAUUAUACAGCUGCUGUUCUCAAGCUGAAACGUUCCGUCCUUUCCCACUCCCUGUCUUGCUGCUGAGCUGGCUACCUGUGAAGCCUGAAGAUUCCAGCCCCAGGUUCUGACUGAACAAUGGUAUUAUGUGAUGUAUAAAGAGUACCCAGGCAACGGAGACAGGCAUGGCUUCAUUCACUCAGUGCCCAGUGGCUUUUGAACGCUCCAGCAUUCAGCCUUUAUCCUGAGCAGCUCUGGGCCUCUCCCCUCCCAUUUAUUGCUCAGCUGUCCUCAUCAUAAUCUUUCCCCUGUCUGCAAGAGAGCCAUGAAUGAGGGAAGGAAAGGGGGGAGACAAAGAUACUCUGGUAACCAGAAAGACUCCUGAUUGUGGGUGAAGAGAUCUGAGGUUUGGUCUCUGGUGCCAUCACUCAUGAGGGAACCUUGAGUGCAUCUCUAGUCAGCUCCAGGUUCCCUUCCCGAUCUAAGUCUCUGGUAAGAGAAUCAGGAAGAAAGUCCAACGGGAGCUUUGCCAACUCUGACAUUCUAUCAUGUGGUUGUGACAAGUCCCCAGGACCACUGAGGAAUGGAGAGAGCUAACCAACGGGGACAAAGUACCAGAAACACCUAUUGUGACUCAUCUGUGAUGGUGACUAACAAGACCAAGGUCCACAGAUGAGGAAGUUAUGCCUGUGAGAGAGGUCAAGUUGCCCAAGCAUGACCCAGUCUGACCUGGCUUGUGUUGCUGACCAUCAGGAACCCCUCACCAAGCAUCAACACAGAUAUCCAGAGGCCCAGGGCUAGUGGUGGGAGCUGAGCCUCAAAGGCUCUUGAUUCUGUGAACUCCUGAAUGCAGUGAAGUGAAGCACCUGCUCAGAGGGCGAAGGCAGUACUGGUAGGUGUACAGUUCUGGAAGGCUCCAUGGACUUGACAAAGUGCUCUCCUAGAUCAAGAAGGACAAGCAGAAUCUUAAGAGAGCUGACUGGACAGGUGGGAAGAGUGUGCUCCAACAGAGGCUGCAGAGGAGAGCAUUGUUCUGGAGAAACACUGAGCUUGAGGACACAGCAGCCCUCUGAUCAAAGACUCUCAAGAAGACCGAACUGAACUGAGCUGAAGGCAUGACCUUCCCAUGUCUAAGAGAAAGCAAAAAUAGUUGAAUCCAGACCUUCCCCAUCUGGACAAGCAGAGUCCAGAGCAGGUCUAGCCCAACCCUCAGUGAACACUGUAGAGGGAGACAUGAAGCAGAGGAAGACUCGGUGAGAGCCAGAAAUGUGAUGAAAUACCAACAGAUAAGCUCAGCAAAGCACCUUCACAGUCUUGAUUUCUUAUAAAUAACAAGUGCUCCGUGUGGUGUUGGCCAGGCUAAGCCUCCCUGUGCAUGAAUUCUUUUCAUUCAUUUCUUCAUCUGUUGUGGAAAGAGAUUUGAGUUGCCCAUUUCCCCAAUGAGUUGAGCUCUGUGGUGAAUGAAUCAUUUGUCUAAGUCUCUGACUAGAAAUGACAGUGACAGAAGCAUCCAGGGUUGUCUGACUCCAAAGCCCACCUGAGGUGGGUCUGUCUUCAGUGAUGGGAAGCAGAGCAACCCUGGAAAUGUAUGCUACAGGAUCAUUAGCAUGAUUUAAUAAGCCGUUCCCUUGAGCCAGGAUUGCCAACAGCUCCAUCUGACAUGGCCAUAUGGGUCACCACACUAGGGGAAGAGGCUAACUAUCUCCAGUCUUUGUGGGAAACCCUGUCCUGGCCAGGAAGGGGAAGUUUUAAGUGAUGUAUUAAAAACAGG
Molecule: small RNA, 3343 nt
Filed under: Rattus norvegicus (Norway rat)
Lineage: Eukaryota; Metazoa; Chordata; Mammalia; Rodentia; Muridae
Description: uncharacterized LOC102551656
Source: RNAcentral